UCCAUAUGUUAAAGAAACAGCUUUUAAGUGCCUUUCUGCAGUUUUCCAAGAGCGCAAGAUAGAUU
This is a non-coding RNA of Sarcophilus harrisii (Tasmanian devil), 65 nucleotides long. The record is from Rfam. NCBI's taxonomy places the organism in Eukaryota, Metazoa, Chordata, Mammalia, Dasyuromorphia, Dasyuridae.